AGAGUUUGAUCCUGGCUCAGGACGAACGCUGGCGGCGUGCUUAACACAUGCAAGUGGAGCGACGAACCAGGCUUCGGCCUGGGGCAAAGCCGCGAACGGGUGAGUAACACGUGGGUAACCUGCCCCGAUGAUUGGGACAACCCGAGGAAACUCGGGCUAAUACCAAAUGUGCCCUCCGGCCUCAAGGCCGCUGGGGAAAGGAAGCUUCGGCCUCCGCAUCGGGAUGGGCCCGCGGCCCGUUAGCUUGUUGGUGAGGUAACGGCUCACCAAGGCAACGAUGGGUAGCUGGUCUGAGAGGACGAUCAGCCACACUGGGACUGAGACACGGCCCAGACUCCUACGGGAGGCAGCAGUGGGGAAUCUUGCGCAAUGCGCGAAAGCGUGACGCAGCAACGCCGCGUGGGGGAAGAAGGCCUUCGGGUUGUAAACCCCUUUCAGUUGGGACGAAGCUCCGCCGGUUAACAGCCGGCUGGAGUGACGGUACCUUCAGAAGAAGCCCCGGCUAACUACGUGCCAGCAGCCGCGGUAAUACGUAGGGGGCUAGCGUUGUCCGGAAUCAUUGGGCGUAAAGAGCGUGUAGGCGGCUUGGUAAGUCCGCUGUGAAAGUCCAGGGCUCAACCCUGGAAUGCCAGUGGAAACUGUCAAGCUAGAGUCCGGAAGAGGCGAGUGGAAUCCCUGGUGUAGCGGUGAAAUGCGCAGAUAUCAGGAGGAACACCAAUGGCGAAGGCAGCUCGCUGGGACGGCACUGACGCUGAGACGCGAAAGCGUGGGGAGCAAACAGGAUUAGAUACCCUAGUAGUCC
RNAcentral lists this ribosomal RNA (802 nucleotides) under uncultured bacterium. RNAcentral describes it as "bacterial SSU rRNA". It matches the Rfam family "Bacterial small subunit ribosomal RNA", at positions 8 to 796 of the family's 1533-position model. The record is from RNAcentral.